This is a long non-coding RNA of Branchiostoma belcheri (Belcher's lancelet), 635 nucleotides long. RefSeq lists it as uncharacterized. The transcript is spliced from 3 exons. NCBI's taxonomy places the organism in Eukaryota, Metazoa, Chordata, Leptocardii, Amphioxiformes, Branchiostomatidae. The record is from RefSeq and is a predicted model, not a curated record.
CCAAAACGUACUUAUUCCCCGGUCGUUCUAUCGAUCUCGCCGUUAAAUAAACGCCAUUUUCGGUUUGAACAUCACAACAGGCGGUUGUCUCCUACGGAGUGACCUGUGCUUCUAGUCUACAGGCAGAUGUUGGGGGUGAAAGGCUUUGGGACUGGGAGGUUCCGCGUACCGGGGAAACCUAUUGCUGGCCAAGUCUCCUAGCUUUCAACCCCAACAUCUGCUUGGAGAUAUCUGUACCACCACCUUGGCCUUGUGAGACUUCCAUCGAUCUGCUCAGAUCGCGAGGGCUUUGGGCCGUCCGGAUCACAUGGACGCCUCGCCGCAGAUCCCACACGAGGAGGGCAAAAAGGAGGCCGGGAAACUGCUUGGGCAAGCAGAGGCCGCGGCUUAUCUCGGCGACAAUUUUCAUCCAAGAAUGCUGGCCAUGGAUGAAAACAAAUCGCUCGAAGGCUUCCAAGCGUCUGCCUAACCACCUGGCAGCGCUCAGUCUACCAACAAGCGCAAGGUUCACUCCAGCCCGGCCAAGGAGAGGAGGCUGCGCUGGGCGGCCAUGAAGAUCGAGGGCUGCAUUGUUGGCAACCGCCCACGACUUAAUUGUCUCGAAGUGUGUUUGUAGAGAAUAUCCUGGAAACAGA